Molecule: ribosomal RNA, 465 nt
Filed under: uncultured bacterium
Lineage: Bacteria
Description: bacterial SSU rRNA
Rfam family: Bacterial small subunit ribosomal RNA
Source: RNAcentral
GGUGAACGCUAGCGGUGCGCCUAACACAUGCAAGUCGAGCGGUAGAAGAAUGUAGCUUGCUAUAUUCUUUGAGAGCGGCGAACGGGUGAGUAACACGUUGGUACAUGCCCCCAAGUCAGGGAUAGCCAUUGGAAACGAUGAUUAAUACCGGAUGUGCUCUUCGGAGUAAAGAUUUAUCGCUUGGGGAGUGGCCUGCGUCCUAUCAGCUUGUUGGUGAGGUAAUAGCUCACCAAGGCUAUGACGGGUAACUGGUCUGAGAGGACGACCAGUCACAAUGAAACUGAGACACGGUUCAUACUCCUACGGGAGGCAGCAGUGAGGAAUCUUCCACAAUGGACGAAAGUCUGAUGGAGCGACACCGCGUGAAGGAUGAAGGCCUAACGGUUGUAAACUUCUUUUCUGAGGGAGCAUAAUGAGAGUACCUCAGGAAUAAGGGACGGCUAAAUACGUGCCAGCAGCCGCGGU